RNAcentral lists this unclassified non-coding RNA (373 nucleotides) under Hevea brasiliensis (rubber tree). The record is from RNAcentral. Lineage: Eukaryota; Viridiplantae; Streptophyta; Magnoliopsida; Malpighiales; Euphorbiaceae.
GGUCUUGACUGCUUCCUUGCAGGUAUGUUGAUGGCUUUUAAAAUGUAGUAUGACUAGUAAUUUUUAGUUAUAGUAUAUAUAAUAUGCUACUACAUGAUGGCACCAUUUUGGCUUUGUGUUUAUUCUCAUCUGAUCGUGGAUUUGCAUAUGAACAUGCGUUUAUGCAUUUCAGAGACAUUAAAAUGUUAAUUUACGUUCAUCUUAAAAUUGAUGCUUGAGGAGAAUUUGUUCUAAUUUUUUACUUUAAACUUCAGUAAAGAUUCCACCCAUUUUUAUUUGGGUUAUAUGCCCAUUGCCUGGUCCAUUCUGGUCAAAUAGGCUUCUGUUAUGAACUCUCUGCAUUUUUAUUAUGGCUUCGUUUGGAAUAAAUCAU